UUGGCGGACGGGUGAGUAACGCGUGGGUAACCUGCCUCACACUGGGGGAUAACAGUUAGAAAUAGCUGCUAAUACCGCAUAAGCGCACGGUUCCGCAUGGAACAGUGUGAAAAACUCCGGUGGUGUGAGAUGGACCCGCGCCUGAUUAGCCAGUUGGCGGGGUAACGGCCCACCAAAGCGACGAUCAGUAGCCGGCCUGAGAGGGUGAACGGCCACAUUGGGACUGAGACACGGCCCAA
This 239-nucleotide ribosomal RNA is filed under the name uncultured bacterium. RNAcentral's name for it is "partial 16S ribosomal RNA". It matches the Rfam family "Bacterial small subunit ribosomal RNA", at positions 95 to 334 of the family's 1533-position model. The record is from RNAcentral.